CCUACGGGUGGCAGCAGUGAGGAAUAUUGGUCAAUGGGCGGGAGCCUGAACCAGCCAAGUCGCGUGAGGGAAGACGGUCCUAUGGAUUGUAAACCUCUUUAGGCGGGGAGCAAUGCCGGGCACGUGUGCCCGGAGGGAGAGUACCCGCAGAAUAAGCAUCGGCUAACUCCGUGCCAGCAGCCGCGGUAAUACGGAGGAUGCGAGCGUUAUCCGGAUUUAUGGGGUUUAAAGGGUGCGUAGGGGGAUUUUUAAGUCAGCGGUAAAAUGUCCGGGCUCAACCCGGGCCGGCCGUUGAAACUGGGGAUCUUGAUUGGGCGAGAAGUAUGCGGAAUGCGUGGUGGAGCGGUGAAAUGCAUAG
This 358-nucleotide ribosomal RNA is filed under the name uncultured bacterium. RNAcentral's name for it is "partial 16S ribosomal RNA". It matches the Rfam family "Bacterial small subunit ribosomal RNA", at positions 338 to 693 of the family's 1533-position model. The record is from RNAcentral.